RNAcentral lists this transfer RNA (75 nucleotides) under bacterium. RNAcentral describes it as "tRNA-Arg". It matches the Rfam family "tRNA". Rfam says of the family: Transfer RNA (tRNA) molecules are approximately 80 nucleotides in length. Their secondary structure includes four short double-helical elements and three loops (D, anti-codon, and T loops). The record is from RNAcentral.
GCCCCCAUAGCUCAACGGACAGAGCAACUCACUCCUAAGGAGUAGAUCGGGGUUCAAUUCCUCGUAGGGGCACCA